GUGGGUAGUUUGACUGGGGCGGUCUCCUCCUAAAGAGUAACGGAGGAGCACGAAGGUUGGCUAAUCCUGGUCGGACAUCAGGAGGUUAGUGCAAUGGCAUAAGCCAGCUUGACUGCGAGCGUGACGGCGCGAGCAGGUGCGAAAGCAGGUCAUAGUGAUCCGGUGGUUCUGAAUGGAAGGGCCAUCGCUCAACGGAUAAAAGGUACUCCGGGGAUAACAGGCUGAUACCGCCCAAGAGUUCAUAUCGACGGCGGUGUUUGGCACCUCGAUGUCGGCUCAUCACAUCCUGGGGCUGAAGUAGGUCCCAAGGGUAUGGCUGUUCGCCAUUUAAAGUGGUACGCGAGCUGGGUUUAGAACGUCGUGAGACAGUUCGGUCCCUAUCUGCCGUGGGCGCUGGAGAACUGAGGGGGGCUGCUCCUAGUACGAGAGGACCGGAGUGGACGCAUCACUGGUGUUCGGGUUGUCAUGCCAAUGGCACUGCCCGGUAGCUAAAUGCGGAAGAGAUAAGUGCUGAAAGCAUCUAAGCACGAAACUUGCCCCGAGAUGAGUUCUCCCUGACUCUUUAAGGGUCCUGAAGGAACGUUGAAGACGACGACGUUAAUAGGCCGGGUGUGUAAGCGCAGCGAUGCGUUGAGCUAACCGGUACUAAUGAACCGUGAGGCUUAACCUUACAACGCCGAAG
RNAcentral lists this ribosomal RNA (682 nucleotides) under Escherichia coli. RNAcentral describes it as "partial 23S ribosomal RNA". It matches the Rfam family "Bacterial large subunit ribosomal RNA", at positions 2261 to 2925 of the family's 2925-position model. Lineage: Bacteria; Pseudomonadati; Pseudomonadota; Gammaproteobacteria; Enterobacterales; Enterobacteriaceae. The record is from RNAcentral.